Long non-coding RNA from Vicia villosa (hairy vetch), 485 nucleotides. RefSeq lists it as uncharacterized. Lineage: Eukaryota; Viridiplantae; Streptophyta; Magnoliopsida; Fabales; Fabaceae. The record is from RefSeq and is a predicted model, not a curated record. The transcript is spliced from 3 exons.
AUAUUUGCAUCAUUCUUUUUUACCAUUGAUUUGUGCCAUUGAUUUGUGCUUUGGUUUGGGGAUUAAUAGUAGUUACCUUUUUUUGUUGUUUAAUGUGGAGACACCACCUCUCAUUUUAUUAAUUUCAGAGACACUGCCCUUGAAAGUGUCAAGCAGCUGAUAAUGAGUUUAGAAAUAAAGCUUGACUCACUUACUGCUUAGCACCAUAAAGAGAAAGAGAAAUAGAGACUAUGCCUUUAAAAUGUAGAAGAAACAUGGAGAAUCAGAUACAAGACAAUGAAGGUCGAAAAUGAUGCAGCUGCUGCAGAAGAUAUGCAAAAGAAUUUGCAAGAUCUUAAACAGAGAUGUAGAAUAUUGAAGACAUUGAUUGAAGAAGAACCAUAAAAAUAUCAUACUCACUUCAUCAAUAUAUCAAGAAAGGGAUAGAAGCUGACGGAAAUCACGGAAUUGAGGAACCUUACAAGAAGGUUCAUGCUGCUAUUCGU